This 1522-nucleotide ribosomal RNA is filed under the name Escherichia coli. RNAcentral describes it as "partial 23S ribosomal RNA". It matches the Rfam family "Bacterial large subunit ribosomal RNA", at positions 1291 to 2798 of the family's 2925-position model. The record is from RNAcentral. Lineage: Bacteria; Pseudomonadati; Pseudomonadota; Gammaproteobacteria; Enterobacterales; Enterobacteriaceae.
CGAAUGCUGACAUAAGUAACGAUAAAGCGGGUGAAAAGCCCGCUCGCCGGAAGACCAAGGGUUCCUGUCCAACGUUAAUCGGGGCAGGGUGAGUCGACCCCUAAGGCGAGGCCGAAAGGCGUAGUCGAUGGGAAACAGGUUAAUAUUCCUGUACUUGGUGUUACUGCGAAGGGGGGACGGAGAAGGCUAUGUUGGCCGGGCGACGGUUGUCCCGGUUUAAGCGUGUAGGCUGGUUUUCCAGGCAAAUCCGGAAAAUCAAGGCUGAGGCGUGAUGACGAGGCACUACGGUGCUGAAGCAACAAAUGCCCUGCUUCCAGGAAAAGCCUCUAAGCAUCAGGUAACAUCAAAUCGUACCCCAAACCGACACAGGUGGUCAGGUAGAGAAUACCAAGGCGCUUGAGAGAACUCGGGUGAAGGAACUAGGCAAAAUGGUGCCGUAACUUCGGGAGAAGGCACGCUGAUAUGUAGGUGAAGUCCCUCGCGGAUGGAGCUGAAAUCAGUCGAAGAUACCAGCUGGCUGCAACUGUUUAUUAAAAACACAGCACUGUGCAAACACGAAAGUGGACGUAUACGGUGUGACGCCUGCCCGGUGCCGGAAGGUUAAUUGAUGGGGUCAGCGCAAGCGAAGCUCUUGAUCGAAGCCCCGGUAAACGGCGGCCGUAACUAUAACGGUCCUAAGGUAGCGAAAUUCCUUGUCGGGUAAGUUCCGACCUGCACGAAUGGCGUAAUGAUGGCCAGGCUGUCUCCACCCGAGACUCAGUGAAAUUGAACUCGCUGUGAAGAUGCAGUGUACCCGCGGCAAGACGGAAAGACCCCGUGAACCUUUACUAUAGCUUGACACUGAACAUUGAGCCUUGAUGUGUAGGAUAGGUGGGAGGCUUAGAAGUGUGGACGCCAGUCUGCAUGGAGCCGACCUUGAAAUACCACCCUUUAAUGUUUGAUGUUCUAACGUUGACCCGUGAUCCGGGUUGCGGACAGUGUCUGGUGGGUAGUUUGACUGGGGCGGUCUCCUCCUAAAGAGUAACGGAGGAGCACGAAGGUUGGCUAAUCCUGGUCGGACAUCAGGAGGUUAGUGCAAUGGCAUAAGCCAGCUUGACUGCGAGCGUGACGGCGCGAGCAGGUGCGAAAGCAGGUCAUAGUGAUCCGGUGGUUCUGAAUGGAAGGGCCAUCGCUCAACGGAUAAAAGGUACUCCGGGGAUAACAGGCUGAUACCGCCCAAGAGUUCAUAUCGACGGCGGUGUUUGGCACCUCGAUGUCGGCUCAUCACAUCCUGGGGCUGAAGUAGGUCCCAAGGGUAUGGCUGUUCGCCAUUUAAAGUGGUACGCGAGCUGGGUUUAGAACGUCGUGAGACAGUUCGGUCCCUAUCUGCCGUGGGCGCUGGAGAACUGAGGGGGGCUGCUCCUAGUACGAGAGGACCGGAGUGGACGCAUCACUGGUGUUCGGGUUGUCAUGCCAAUGGCACUGCCCGGUAGCUAAAUGCGGAAGAGAUAAGUGCUGAAAGCAUCUAAGCACGAAACUUGCC